GCGUCGGUGGUGCAUCGGUUUAGCAUAUGCUCCCGGAAAGAGCAGAUCUGGGGUCGAAUUCCAGCUGACGCA
Molecule: non-coding RNA, 72 nt
Organism: Parelaphostrongylus tenuis
Lineage: Eukaryota; Metazoa; Nematoda; Chromadorea; Rhabditida; Metastrongylidae
Source: the annotation of a GenBank genome assembly